AAACCAUUUACACACAUAAAAGUAUGGGUGAUAGAAAUUUAUUUUUCGGCGCCAUAGAGACAGUACCGUAAGGGAAAGAUGAAAAAAAAAAAUUAAGCACAAAACAGCAAGGAUUCACCCCUAUACCUUUUGCAUAAUGAACUAGCCAGAGACAAUUUUGCAAAGAGAACUAAAGCCAAAACCCCCGAAACCAGACGAGCUACCCAAAAACAGCUAGAAGAGCGCACCCAUCUAUGUAGCAAAAUAGUGGGAAGAUUUCUGGGUAGAGGUGAUAAGCCUACCGAGCCUGGUGAUAGCUGGUUAUCCAAGAUAGAAUCUUAGUUCAACCUUAAGUUUACCUACAGAACUACCAAUCCCCCUGUAAACUUAAUUGUUAUUCUAAAGAGGGACAGCUCUUUAGACACUAGGAAAAAACCUUACAUAGAGAGUAAAAAACCUAACCCCCCAUAGUUGGCCCAAAAGCAGCCAUCAAUUAAGAAAGCGUUCAAGCUCGACGUUAACUAACCAAAAAUCCCAAGCAUAUGACUGAACUCCUUACAUUACAUUGGAUUAAUCUAUUUAAUCAUAGAAGCAAUAAUGCUAGUAUUAGUAACAUGAAUAUAUUCUCCUAUGCAUAAGCCUAAGUCAGACCGAAAAAAUCUCACUGACACUUAACAGCCUAGUACUAAUAAACACAAACAAGCCAGUACUACCUAUACUGUUAAUCCAACACAGGCAUGCUCCAAAGGAAAGGUUAAAAAAAGUAAAAGGAACUCGGCAAACCUAACAGGCAUGCUCCAAAGGAAAGGUUAAAAAAAGUAAAAGGAACUCGGCAAACCUACCCCCGCCUGUUUACCAAAAACAUCACCUCUAGCAUUAAUAAUAUUAGAGGCACUGCCUGCCCAGUGACACACGUUCAACGGCCGCGGUACCCUGACCGUGCAAAGGUAGCAUAAUCACUUGUUCCUUAAAUAGGGACUCGCAUGAACGGCAACACGAGGGUUCAACUGUCUCUUACUUUCAACCAGUGAAAUUGACCUGCCCGUGAAGAGGCGGGCAUAACAUAAUAAGACGAGAAGACCCUAUGGAGCUUUAAUUUACUAAUGCAACCAAAAUUCAUAGAAAUCCACGGACUUAACCCACUACUAGGCCUGCAUUAUUAAUUUUGGUUGGGGUGACCUCGGAGCAUAAUCAAACCUCCGAAUAGUCCAGGCCAAGACUAUACUAGUCAAAGCUAACUAUAUCUACAAUUGAUCCAAUAGAUUGAUCAACGGAAAAAGUUACCCUAGGGAUAACAGCGCAAUCCUAUUCCAGAGUUCAUAUCGACAAUAGGGUUUACGACCUCGAUGUUGGAUCAGGACAUCCUAAUGGUGCAGCAGCUAUCAAGGGUUCGUUUGUUCAACGAUUAAAGUCCUACGUGAUCUGAGUUCAGACCGGAGCAAUCCAGGUCGGUUUCUAUCUAUUCUAUAUUUCUCCCUGUACGAAAGGACAAGAGAAAUAGGGCCCACUUCACAAAGUGCCCUCCUUCCAUAAAUGACUUGGUCUCAAUUUAACAAAAAAGCUAGAUAUAUGCCCCAAGAACAGGGC
RNAcentral lists this ribosomal RNA (1566 nucleotides) under Colobus angolensis palliatus. Its description in RNAcentral is "16S ribosomal RNA". It matches the Rfam family "Bacterial large subunit ribosomal RNA". Lineage: Eukaryota; Metazoa; Chordata; Mammalia; Primates; Cercopithecidae. The record is from RNAcentral.